GGUUACAGCAAUUUUCGUCCAAGCACAAACCGCAAACAUUUUCGCGCGUUUGUUUACGUUUGAAACGGGGUGUUUACCGUUGGAAACGGAAAUGUUUCACUGCUCAUUCGACGUGUUAUAGUGAAAAGCCUAAUUCAAUUAUUUUUCAUGUUUUGAUGUGCUUUCGUGUACUUUUCAGUGUUUCCAAGCUCACGAUAUUGUAAGAGCGACCAAACUUGUUUAUAUUCAUACUUUUUGUGACUAGAACGUAUUAUCAUGGGCUGGAAAAUAUUGAAACGUGCACGGAGGCACAUCAAACCACGAAACAUGGUAGUUGCGCCAAAAAUAGCCUAAGGCUUGAUGCCUGCGAGGAAUGCUGGUCUUAGUAGUCAUCACGGUCCAGGAAAAUUUAGAUAGUAGCCAUUUUUAAUUGUUUAAUUUUCCUGGGCAAUGACUACUAAGAUCAGCAUUCCUCACGGGCAUGAAGUCUUGUGACAUCAUUAUGCA
This is a non-coding RNA of Paramuricea clavata, 486 nucleotides long. Lineage: Eukaryota; Metazoa; Cnidaria; Anthozoa; Malacalcyonacea; Plexauridae. The record is from the annotation of a GenBank genome assembly.